RNAcentral lists this long non-coding RNA (865 nucleotides) under Mus musculus (house mouse). RNAcentral describes it as "RIKEN cDNA 1700095A13 gene". Lineage: Eukaryota; Metazoa; Chordata; Mammalia; Rodentia; Muridae. The record is from RNAcentral.
AGCUCUGGAAACCCUAUGGCUGCUCGCUUGCAUUCCAAUCUUCCCUAGAAACAAUCCAAAAGCAGAAGGAAGAGAAAAGUCAAUGGCUAAUGUGGUUUAAAGUGAGGCUUUUCUAGUCAAGUUCUUCAACACCACAUAUUCUCCCAAGGUCUAGACUGCCAUGCUUCAUUUGUCUGCUCAGGUCUUGGCCAUCAGGAAUACAGAAGCAAUUAAGUCCAUUAGGAAGGCCUGAGGCAGCUGCAAGAAAAGAUUGGGUGAGCGGAGGGACCCAGCCAACAUCCCACCUGCUCAACGCAUCACCUGAAGUGAAUAGGAAUUUAAGAAACUUCCUUGUCCCAGGCUGCUACCACUGAGGUCAUGAAGCAAGUCAGAAUCUCACAUUUCAAGAAUGCAAUCUAGGCACAGGAAGAAGUUGAGACAGGGAGUGCCAUCUCUGUCCUACUGGAGAUGUGUAAUGAGGGUAAGGAAGCUAAUGCUGGGAUGAAAGUGACCAAGAUUAUCAACACAAACAGAGUCGAAGCAACUCAGCCAUUCUCAGAAUGAACAACAAGCCCAGCGGUUCCCUUGACCACCAGCGGAGGCUUCACUCCCACCACACACUAAGGAAAUCCACUGUUCACCAGCCUCUGCUGAACGAUGGCAUGUGUGGGAAUAGAUUUCAACAGAACUUAAAACACAUUGAACUAAAUGAAGAUGAACGUGCUACACAUAAAAAUUGGUGGAAUUUAGCUAAAGCAAUAAGAUAAGAAAAAUAUGUAGGGCUACAUGCCCACAUUAGAAAAGAAGAAAGACCCUGUAUCAACAAUCCAGGUACUGAUGGAAAGAAACAGAAAGAACAUCAAAAUAAACCGACUAGAGCAGAAAA